UUCUCUACAUAAUCAAAACAACAAAGUGCAUUGAAUAUUACCAAGAUUGCAUCAGGAUAAAUAUUUGAAAGCCGAAUUUGAUGGAAGGUCAGGUUCUCAAGAUGUCGGCAAGUUGUGGUUGAUGUGAUAAGGUGUGGGAUUAGCAACAGAUAAAGACUUAGAGUCACAGUACAAUUGGGAUUGGUUUCCACGACUUGAGCAUGCAGAUCUCUAUAAAUACUAAGCGGCAGAUCAUUCAAAAGGAUCUCCAAUUCAACACACAAAACUGCCCUGCGCAAACCCUCUCAACAACUUUGAGAUUUUUUUAUUUUCUCUUUUCGCUGACACGACUUCCGUUGGCAUCAACAGCACUGUGGAAGCAACCGGUGAUAUCUUAAGUCGGCAUAGAUAGCUCUAUCACCGUAGAAUCGAUCGGUCUUGCAGUAUCUUCCGUUGGCAUCAACAGCACUGCGGCGAGAACGGUUGAUUACCUAUCCAAGUCUCGGUCGAGAAGGGUUUCUGAACCCUUAUUGGUCGAGGUCAUCUCAUCAGCUUUCCCGGCGAAGUGAGGUGUUACAGUUAUUACAUUCGGCACAUUGAAAGCCGAAUUUGAUAUUGAACUUCGUAAGAAUAGUAACCUUGUCUUCAGGUUCGAGAGCCCAAGAGGCCGAGACGUGUUCCUUUCUCGGCCGCAAUCGCAAGACGCAGAAGUCAGUAGCGCGACUCAACGCAACAUUAACAAAUUUACUCCUCGGCCGAGCUCGGCCGACGAGUUGGCACGCCCCGCAUUCACCGAAGGACGUAGUUAGCUCAUUAAUUACUCGGCCUGCGCACCACGUAGGCUUUGUAGUUUCUAGGGUCAACAUUUUGGCACGCCCGGUGGAACCCAGUGCUAAUACUACGAAGUUCAUAUGAUAUAUCAAGAUUCCAAUCUGGCUCAACGUAGCCGAUUAUACGAGCUCCUGGAGGAAUUGAAAAAACAUAAUGAGGAAUGUAAAAAAUCUUUGGAAGCAGAAAAAGUUCUUCGUGGCCAUAAAGAGAUGCAAAAGUCAUUCGCUUGCAUGUUGAAAAUAAAAGCUCCUGUUAUCCUACAAGGGCAAUGGGUAAAUGAAGACAGGGCUCGAUUUAAUGCAUGGCUAGAUGAAGAAAAUUUUCCUUACGUUUCUGAUUACAGAUCAAUUCCAUUUGAAAAAUGGUUAGGCCCAAAGGCCGGGGGGCAAUUUUUCGCUCCGGCCGUAAUCAGACAUCGACCUAAGAAAAUUGUUAAUUUGGCCGAAGAACAAAAGCCACCUAUUUUUUCGGUCGAGACUGAAAGUGUGGUAGGCCUAGAAGAAAAAAUUCAAGUUCUUGAGCUAGAUACAAAAAUUGACUUGGAAAAUGAUUCGUCAGAGGAAUGCUCCAAUGACGAACGAGGCCAAGAUAUUGGCCUAGCCCAAGAAACUACGCCAAUUGAUAUGAUUAUUGGCAAUAAAGCCGAUAUGGAGAAAUCAUGUUCGGCUAAGUUGUUUGAAUUAAAAGCCGAAAUUAUGCCUGGGGGGCAUAAUAAUUGUUCCACACAUUCGGCGGCCGAAAAUACAAAAUAUUUUGCCGAGUCAAAAAUAUUUGGGCAAAUUUUUUUAUUCGGCGUUGGCAAAUCUCAAAGUGAAAUUUUUGAUGUAAAAAUAUCUCGGUUUGGAAUAAAACAUUGUUGGCCCCCUCCACUUUAUAGUUCGGCCACUUUUGUUUUCUUUUGUUAAAUAAAUAACUUAUUUUCUUAACCAUUCGGCUGCUCGGGGCUGAUACUUAAGAAAAUAAGGGGGCAACACAGAUAUAAUCGGCGGUUUAAAAUUUUUUUUUAAUCUUGCUGAGGAUGAGCAUACAUAAAGAGGCUGCUUCGUGAAUUUUGAUACUCGGUGCAGAAGAGAGAAAAAGUAGAAAUGAUUUUUGAUGCACUGACUGAAAAAAAAAAAAAAAAAAGGAGCAAUUCGGAAGGUUGGUUUUUCUUUUUGGGUUUUGUGCGCCUCAACUGAGACCACGUGCCUUUUCAUGCUUUUGACCUCAACUAACCUUAUAUGCAUAUAUAUAUAUAUAUAUAUAUAUAUAUAUAUAUAUAUAUAUAUAUAAAGUUAGCUUGCAUGACAAGUUGUUUUAGUGUAUUGUGUGCUGUCAUAGAUUGAUGUCGAGGCUGUUAAUUCUCCACGUUGCUCGGUCUGUUGGGUAUUCAGCACAGAGCCCAAUCAUCUAGUAUAUGGUUGCUUUUCUUCCUCGGCAAGUGGUUUACUCGGCAAGGUUGUAUUUAUAACAGCUUUCUGCUGAGUGAUUUUUUUUUUAUGUGGCAGUGGAUGCUCAUUUCUCUUCGACCAUAUAUUUCUUGACUGGUUAAUUUCCUUAACUAUUCGGCUUACGAGCCGAAGCUCAAGGAAACUGGGGGGCAAUGUUUGGACCCGAUUUUACAUCAUCGGUUCAAGUAAGCUAGGCCGUUGAGUAAGCAUAGCUCCACACCGUCAGAUAGAAAAGUUAGGAUAAUUUUGUUGUUAGGAUAAUAUUAUGAUUUUUAAUCAUAAUAAUUAUCUUUACUAAUGAAUUUGUUUGGGCCUAAAAUUACACAAUCGGCUCGACUGAUCGAAGCCGUUUAGCGUUACAGAUUUUCUUCCAUGCGAGAUGCAUAUGCGUGUGGGUGAGGGACUUUUCAUGCAAUUUGUGUAUACGUGGAGUGAUCAGCACAAAGAUAUGAAAAAGGAUCUGCAUGGAUGAGAAUCGAUCAAGUUGGAACUUGACCAAGCAAAAAGUUAGUGAUAAGUGCCAUCUAAAAGGAGAUAUAAUUUAAAAUGGAUAUGGUCUCUUGGGGCAUGCGAAAGAUAGAGAUGGUAAAGAAUAAAAUAAUAUUCUUUUAUUCUCUACAUAAUCAAAACAACAAAGUGCAUUGAAUAUUACCAAGAUUGCAUCAGGAUAAAUAUUUGAAAGCCGAAUUUGAUGGAAGGUCAGGUUCUCAAGAUGUCGGCAAGUUGUGGUUGAUGUGAUAAGGUGUGGGAUUAGCAACAGAUAAAGACUUAGAGUCACAGUACAAUUGGGAUUGGUUUCCACGACUUGAGCAUGCAGAUCUCUAUAAAUACUAAGCGGCAGAUCAUUCAAAAGGAUCUCCAAUUCAACACACAAAACUGCCCUACGCAAACCCUCUCAACAACUUUGAGAUUUUUUUAUUUUCUCUUUUCGCUGACACAUCUUCCGUUGGCAUCAACAGCACUGUGGAAGCAACCGGUGAUAUCUUAAGUCGGCAUAGAUAGCUCUGUCACCGUAGAAUCGAUCGGUCUUGCAGUAUCUUCCGUUGGCAUCAACAGCACUGCGGCGAGAACGGUUGAUUACCUAUCCAAGUCUCGGUCGAGAAGGGUUUCUGAACCCUUAUUGGUCGAGGUCAUCUCAUCAGCCUUCCCGGCGAAGUGAGGUGUUACAGUUAUUACAUUCGGCACAUUGAAAGCCGAAUUUGAUAUUGAACUUCGUAAGAAUAGUAACCUUGUCUUCAGGUUCGAGAGCCCAAGAGGCCGAGACAUGUUCCUUUCUCGGCCGCAAUCGCAAGACGCAGAAGUCAGUAGCGCGACUCAACGCAACAUCAACAAAUUUACUCCUCGACCGAGCUCGGCCGACGAGUUGGUACGCCCUGCAUUCACCGAAG
Molecule: long non-coding RNA, 3628 nt
Filed under: Malus domestica (apple)
Lineage: Eukaryota; Viridiplantae; Streptophyta; Magnoliopsida; Rosales; Rosaceae
Description: long non-coding RNA (MDOM_LNC008188)
Source: RNAcentral